Molecule: ribosomal RNA, 497 nt
Filed under: uncultured bacterium
Lineage: Bacteria
Description: partial 16S ribosomal RNA
Rfam family: Bacterial small subunit ribosomal RNA
Source: RNAcentral
GAUGAACGCUGGCGGCGUGCCUAAUACAUGCAAGUCGAGCGAACGGACGAGAAGCUUGCUUCUCUGAUGUUAGCGGCGGACGGGUGAGUAACACGUGGAUAACCUACCUAUAAGACUGGGAUAACUUCGGGAAACCGGAGCUAAUACCGGAUAAUAUUUUGAACCGCAUGGUUCAAAGGUGAAAGACGGUCUUGCUGUCACUUAUAGAUGGAUCCGCGCUGCAUUAGCUAGUUGGUAAGGUAACGGCUUACCAAGGCAACGAUGCAUAGCCGACCUGAGAGGGUGAUCGGCCACACUGGAACUGAGACACGGUCCAGACUCCUACGGGAGGCAGCAGUAGGGAAUCUUCCGCAAUGGGCGAAAGCCUGACGGAGCAACGCCGAGUGAGUGAUGAAGGUCUUCGGAUCGUAAAACUCUGUUAUUAGGGAAGAACAUAUGUGUAAGUAACUGUGCACAUCUUGACGGUACCUAAUCAGAAAGCCACGGCUAACUACGUG